RNAcentral lists this ribosomal RNA (203 nucleotides) under uncultured bacterium. Its description in RNAcentral is "partial 16S ribosomal RNA". It matches the Rfam family "Bacterial small subunit ribosomal RNA", at positions 524 to 718 of the family's 1533-position model. The record is from RNAcentral.
UACGUAGGGUGCAAGCGUUGUCCGGAUUUAUUGGGCGUAAAGAGCUCGUAGGCGGUCUGUCGCGUCGGAUGUGAAAACCCAGGGCUACAACCCUCGGGCCUGCAAUUCGAUUAACGGGCAGACUAGAGUACGGCAGGGGAGACUGGAAUUCCGUGGUGUAGCGGUGAAAUGCGCAGAUAAUCAGGAGGAACAGCCGGUGGCGA